GAUGAACGCUGGCGGCGUGCCUAAUACAUGCAAGUCGAGCGAACGGACGAGAAGCUUGCUGCUCUGAUGUUAGCGGCGGACGGGUGAGAAACACGUGGAUACCCUACCUAUAAGACUGGGAUAACUUCGGGACACCGGAGCUAAUACCGGAGAAUAUUUUGAACCGCAUGGUUCAAAAGUGAAAGACGGUCUUGCGGUAACUUCUAGAUGGAUCCGCGCUGCAUUAGCUGGUUGGUAAGGUAACGGCUUACCAAGGCAAGGCUGCAUAGCCGACCGGUGAGGGUGAUCGGCCACACGGGAACUGAGACACGGUCCAGACUCCUACGGGAGGCAGCAGUAGGGAAUCUUCCGCAAUGGGCGAAAGCCUGACGGAGCAACGCCGCGUGAGUGAUGAAGGUCUUCGGAUCGUAAAACUCUGUUAUUAGGGAAGAACAUAUGUGUAAGUAACUGUGCACAUCUUGACGGUACCUAAUCAGAAAGCCACGGCUAACUACGUG
RNAcentral lists this ribosomal RNA (497 nucleotides) under uncultured bacterium. Its description in RNAcentral is "partial 16S ribosomal RNA". It matches the Rfam family "Bacterial small subunit ribosomal RNA", at positions 28 to 507 of the family's 1533-position model. The record is from RNAcentral.